RNAcentral lists this transfer RNA (69 nucleotides) under Rattus norvegicus (Norway rat). It matches the Rfam family "tRNA". From Rfam's summary of the family: Transfer RNA (tRNA) molecules are approximately 80 nucleotides in length. Their secondary structure includes four short double-helical elements and three loops (D, anti-codon, and T loops). Lineage: Eukaryota; Metazoa; Chordata; Mammalia; Rodentia; Muridae. The record is from Rfam by way of RNAcentral.
GGGGAUUUAGCUCAGUGGUAGAGCGCUUGCCUAGGAAGCGCAAGGUCCUGGGUUCAAUCCCCAGCUCCG